Molecule: ribosomal RNA, 407 nt
Filed under: uncultured bacterium
Lineage: Bacteria
Description: bacterial SSU rRNA
Rfam family: Bacterial small subunit ribosomal RNA
Source: RNAcentral
GUUUGAUCCUGGCUCAGAUUGAACGCUGGCGGCAUGCCUUACACAUGCAAGUCGAACGGCAGCACGGGAGCAAUCCUGGUGGCGAGUGGCGAACGGGUGAGUAAUAUAUCGGAACGUGCCCAGUAUGGGGGAUAACUGCUCGAAAGAGCAGCUAAUACCGCAUACGACCUGAGGGUGAAAGGGGGGAUCGCAAGACCUCUCGCUAUUGGAGCGGCCGAUAUCAGAUUAGCUAGUUGGUGGGGUAAAGGCUACCAAGGCAACGAUCUGUAGUUGGUCUGAGAGGACGACCAGCCACACUGGGACUGAGACACGGCCCAGACUCCUACGGGAGGCAGCAGUGGGGAAUUUUGGACAAUGGGGCGCAAGCCUGAUCCAGCAAUGCCGCGUGCAGGAAGAAGGCCUCGGUU